CCUACGGGAGGCAGCAGUGAGGAAUAUUGGUCAAUGGGCGGGAGCCUGAACCAGCCAAGCCGCGUGAGGGAAGAAGGUACAGCGUAUCGUAAACCUCUUUUGUCAGGGAACAAAGGCGGGGACUAGUCCCCGGAUGAGGGUACCUGAAGAAAAAGCAUCGGCUAACUCCGUGCCAGCAGCCGCGGUAAUACGGAGGAUGCGAGCGUUAUCCGGAUUUAUUGGGUUUAAAGGGUGCGGAGGGGGCCUGUUAAGUCAGCGGUAAAAGCUCGGGGCUCAACCCCGGCGAGCCGUUGAAACUGGGGGGCUGGAGGUGGAGAGGAGGAAGCGGAAUGCGGGGUGUAGGCGUGAAAUGCUUAGAUAUCG
RNAcentral lists this ribosomal RNA (363 nucleotides) under uncultured bacterium. RNAcentral's name for it is "partial 16S ribosomal RNA". It matches the Rfam family "Bacterial small subunit ribosomal RNA", at positions 338 to 699 of the family's 1533-position model. The record is from RNAcentral.